Molecule: non-coding RNA, 4300 nt
Organism: Rhopilema esculentum
Lineage: Eukaryota; Metazoa; Cnidaria; Scyphozoa; Rhizostomeae; Rhizostomatidae
Source: RefSeq, a predicted model, not a curated record
AGACGUUGUCUCUGAGCCACUAGCUGAAAUAUUUAAUAGCUCUCUUUUCGAAUAAACUUUCCUUUCUUUAUAAAAAUGGUUAAUGCUUGUCCUAUUUAAAAAAUAGACGAACUAACAGGCGACUGAGAAUCAGAAACUGCAAUAGUUUAUAAAUGGUUAUGUGAAACUGUUUUGUGCUUAACGAUGGCAAAAGCAAGCUUAUUGCUAUUGAAGCCAACCGAUUCAAUUUAGAGGAAUCUAAAGUUCAAAUUAAUGGUUUUACUUUAAAAGAAAGCAAGAAUGUUUAAUUGUUAGGAGAAACAUUGGGCCACCAACAUAGAUAAGAAUAACAUUUUAAAUUUUUUUUAAAGAAGCUGGAAGAAAAUAAACGGUCUUAUUUCAUCAAGCUUUAAUUUUUAUCCUGUUAUUUGGAUGUUUUGUAUUAGGAAAGUAAAAGCCGGAGAAAAAUGAUUCAUCAAUCUACUUUUGAACAAGUUUUGAUAAAGAAUAAAACAAUAAAUUUUCACAAGAAAAAUUUAAGAUAUCCUGUAAUAGAAAUUUAUAAAAGAUUUAACAGAUUAAAUCCUCCUUAUUUGGAUGAACUAUUUUCCAUAAAUGAAUUAGGAACCUUUCAAUUAGGAACCUUUCAAUUAGGAACCUUAAGAACCUUUCAAUUUAAAACAGCGGAGCCACAUUACAAAUUUGGAUUUUGUGCAGGGUUAUAGAUAUGGCAAAAUAUUGACCUCACUACCAAGCGAAAUUAUAUACUCUCCAACUUUACAUAUUUUAAGAAAGAAAUCUCAGAAUUUUUAUUGUCAUCUGUUAGUUUUGAUUUAUAUUAUAUUUAGCGACGAUAAUUCAAGUUAUUUUGUUUUAAUUAUAUUGAGUAUAGCUAGAAAUGGUACCAACAUUAAUAAAGAAAAAACGGCAAGAUAUGUCACGCCUACAAAGGUAGCUAUCUGGAUGUUGCCUUAUGAUCGCUAUUAAUUAGUCCCGAAUCUCCAAUAAUUAUGCUGAAAUAUAUUGCUUUGUCAUGAUAUGUAUUACUAUUUGCAAAUGCUGUUUUCUAGGUCCUGUGGCUACAUCGAUUUGAGACGUGACAAAAAUACUUUGUCAAACUCUCUGCCAAGGACACGAUUAAAUAUGAUGAAAAGACUAUUAAAAUAAAUAAGACAGCACAAUGCUCAAAAAGAAAGACAGACUCGUGACAGCGAAUCCAUGUAUUCUUAGGCGGAAAUCUGCUUGAGAAAGCACUUGACCACAUUCAAAGUUUGGAAGCUGCUUGGUUCUCUGAAUGGCUGAAGUCUGAUGACGUAAUGUUGCCCUUACAUUAACCUAGUCUUAAAAACAUCGUUUGACUUCUUUAAUGUAUGUUUCAAAACCACAUUAAGUCUAUGGCUGCCAGAUGAACAAGUAUUAAAUCAUGCAACUUUGUAACUGCUGUUGCGGUGACUUUUUUGCUACUUGAAUCGCAAUGACGAAAAUAAGACAUAAAAGGCCUCGAUCUCUACUCGUCUACUGAAUAUACUCACAAUAGUUUAACUUGGUUUUCACUGUCCCAAGGCUUUUUACAGAAGAAGAGAAAAGCAUAAGCUGAUCUUGACAGCUUGACCCAACGUAGUUAAGCCAUUACAAGGAUUUUUUCACAGGCAUCUACUAGGAUAGAACAAGACGUACUUCUUGUUUCAAACAUUUACUUCCAGAAAGUUAUAUUGGUAAUAAAUAUGUUUAUUAGAGCUGAUUUUCGUAAAUAAUGGAUUUGAGAUUAUUCUGUCCUGUUUUUGUAUUCCGGCUGUCGUUGAUUUCUAGAUAUUUUUACAUGUUAUAUGAAUCUAUCGUAGAAAUUGAAAUGCAAGUAUCUAGAUAGAACUUAUUCACGGUGUUCUGACUUGUGUUAUGUAAGUGAAUUGCCAGGGAUUUAUUUCUUAACAAGGGAAGCCAGUGGAAGUUUCUGAGAUAUUCAAGACUGCUGUCGUCAAAGGAAAGCAUACUCUAUACGUACCUGUCGCUUUUAAGAGGGCUCUGACAAGUGUUUUCGAAGGCUUCAAAGUUUCACAGAGUUGCUGCAGAUUGUUAGGCCACUGUGUGAAGACAUCAAAGUUGAAAGAGUUCUGAAAUAAGAAAUUUCACAGCUUUUAGAAAAGUCGUUUGAGGUGAGAAGAGGUGAUUUAGUUUUAUUUAUUUAUCGCAAAACAGAUGAAGUAAUUUCAUUGAACUGGGAUAUAUUGCUGUUUGGAAGAUUGCACUAUCAAAAAUCGUUCAAGAUAGCUAAAGGUGUAAUUAACCUGACAGUUUCUGGUGCCACUUCACUUAACCUAGUUUAUUUGCAUUCAAGAGAUAUCAGAUCGAAAUAAAAAAAGUGAUCAAAACAAAUUCUACCAGUUUUUGGAUGCAGUGGAAGUAAGUAAUAUGCAAGUGAAUUCAUUGAAAUUGGGCUACUGCUGUUGGUUUGGCCAGCUUCUGCUGCAAAUGAGAUGAAGGAAAAUAAUGGCGAUGGCCAUACUUUGAUGAUAUUGCUAAGAAGGUCGAUGGAGUGCAAAGACAUUUGGAUGUUUCUUUAACAGAUGAAGCAGUCACCUCAGAAGAAUACCUUUAAACUAGAGGAUAAUGAAUUCGCUUGCAAAGGAUCUAAACUUUCAGGAAGAAAGGUGAUGAAGAAUUGCAUCAUACAAAUAACCCCUUCCAUCAUGAAAGAAUUCUACCCAAGUACGUUUAGGGAUUAGUUGAAGACGAAAGAACGUAAGUCGAUUAUGCAUGCUUAGACCGGAAGUUGCUUAGAAAGUUCAUUUGAACACAUUCAAAAUUCAGAAGCUGCUUGGUUUUUCGAAUGGCUGCAGUCUGAUAACGCAGUAGACUUUUUUCGAAGAUAAUGGUGAUGACCAUCCUUGAGCACUUGAGGAGCGAACCGAUAGAGUACAAGGACAUUCAGAGAUUUCUUGAUCUGGUGAAGCAGUCAUCUCAAAAGACUUCUUUUGGAUUCAAGUUGGCACAAUAGUGUCGAAGAUGAGGUGUUGGUGCAAAACACUCCUGUCUUCAUCUUGGCCUACAACGACAUGUAAGCCUAGCUUUUGACGAACACUUCUCCUGAAUGAAGAACAGUCCAUAAGAUAAUGGAGCGAGAACAGAACAUCGACAAAUGAAGUUGAAGCGGCUGCUUGGCUGCGACCUGAAGCGUGGCUGUUGAAAAAUGCAGAUGACUCUUUGGUGUCAGUUAAAGGUUAAAGAAAAGCUAAUUGGCCCUCAAUGUUACCAUUGGCAGCAACAUAUCUCUCACUGCAAGGCAAGCAUGUAAAAUGCCCUAAAGGCUAACAUCGGCAAGAAGUCUGCAAGUUCAACAUGUCAAGUGCUAUGAAUUCUUGUGAGCUGGAGAUCGGCAAGAUCAUUAUGUCAAGUUUUGUGAAGUCCCAUGAGCAAGAUGUUACUAAGGGCUAGAGUUUGAGAUGUCUUAGAAAUUAAUGAACAAGGUGCCAUCAAGGGUAAACUGCUUGAUGUCAAUAAACAAUCUACUUUUUAUGAAAUACAACUGCAAGAAGGACAAAGAAUAACACGCUGCUUGUCUAGAAACAAUCAACUGUUGUUUGUGAAAGUCACCAGCAAAACAUACAAAGAAUAACACGCUGCUUGUCUAGAAACAAUCAACUGUUGUUUGUGAAAGUCACCAGCAAAACAUACAAAGAUGUUGGCGAAAAGAAGAGCAAAUACGACGAAGAAGCAACUCAGUCAAUCAAACGAAGAUGAUGCCAAAUGUUUUCUGCAUAAUUUCAUUAAGACUUAACAGCCAAAAGGCUAAAGUCAUUUAGAAACUAGAAAUUCAUCAUCAUGAACCGUGGUCCACAUGUAGAAAAGCAAAGAAUCGUUAACCCGACGGAAACCUUUCAAAUCGCUAGCCAGUUUCAAAAACAUGCCCAGAGAAGGCUUUAAGGUCUUUGACGACUUUGAAGAGGACUUUGAAGAAGCAGAAAGACGUUUUGGUCCACUCUGCCGUUUUGCAAAGAAAAAGGAGCAGCAAAAGCGAAACACCACUACAUCCAGACCACUAAGCGAUUUUCCAGACGACUGCCGUUUUGCAAAGAAAAAGGAGCAAAAGCAAAAGCGAAACACCGAUUUUUCCAGACGACUACAUCCAGACCAGCGAGACCACUACAUCCAGAGCAGGACCAAGAACCACGAACAGCAUUUCAGGCACAUGUUAUUUGCGUAAAGUUUAAACUAAGAUAAGGACAUCUCAUAAUUAUAUCACGUUCUUCUAAAGAGUUGUUCACUGAGCCCAAUUAUAUAUUUUAUUGCUGUUAUCAAUAAAUUGUUUUGUUAUCUGUUAUCA